RNAcentral lists this long non-coding RNA (733 nucleotides) under Musa acuminata (dwarf banana). Its description in RNAcentral is "long non-coding RNA (MACU_LNC009094)". The record is from RNAcentral. Lineage: Eukaryota; Viridiplantae; Streptophyta; Magnoliopsida; Zingiberales; Musaceae.
UAAAUGCGCCCGCCCAUGAAAACCCACCACCUUAUCACCAUCCCUCCCAUCCCAACGCCACCUGGGGCCAUGGCCACUCCCCACUCCCUCUUCCUCCUCUUCAUCCUCCUCUUUUCCACCUCCAACGCCGCCGACCUCCGCAUCUUCCACGCGGAGCGCCACUCCCCGACGCCUCUCGAUUCAGUCCUUUCGCUCGCGCGCAACGACCUCACCCGCCUCGCCUUCCUCUCCCGGAAAGUCACCUCCGUCCCCGUCGCCUCCGGCCAGCAGGUGCUGCAGUCCUCCUCCUACGUCCUCCGCGCUAAGCUCGGCUCCCCCGGGCAGCUCCUCCUUCUCGCCCUCGACACCAGCGCCGAUGCCGCCUGGACCUCCUGCUCCCCUUGCUCCACCUGCCCCUCCUCCUCCGCCCUCUUCCUCCCUGCUAACUCCUCCACCUACUCCCCCCUCCCCUGCUACUCCUCCUGGUGCCCCCAGUUCAAGGGCCAGUCCUGCGCCGCCGACUCCGCCCCUUCCCCAUGCACCUACUACCAGCCCUACGGCGGCGACGCUGCCUUCACCGCCACUCUCUCGCAGGACUCCCUCACCCUCGCCUCCGACGUCAUUCCCAACUACCUCUUCGGCUGCGUCACCGCCGUCAACGGCAGCUCGGCCAACCUGCCGAAGCAGGGCCUGCUAGGGUUGGGCCGAGGGCCCAUGUCUCUCUUGGCUCAGACCGGCCCGCUUUACCAGGGCG